GUCUGGCCUGAGUCACCCCAGCUCUGUGAGUGGUGGUACCCCAUGCCACAGGGUCUGCAAGGAAGCCCGGUCGCCAAGGCAGGAAGCUCUAAAGAUGACUUGUGCAAGAAGCAGCCACCUAAAUUGUGGAAGAGGAGGAAUUAAGAUUAAUUGAAACAGUAAAUCAACAUUCUGUGUGUGGGGGAGAAUAUAUUUCCAGCGCAUUUUUCGCCAGCUCACCAAAGCAGCACCGUUUAGCAUGCUGAUUUACAAAUGGGAACGGAAAUGACUAGGACAUCAGACUGCCUCACUGGGCUACCAAAUUAGAGGAUCCUUCUGAGAAAGUCACUCUGGCAUUUGAGUGUAGAGUCAGGCCAUCUGUGUUAGGUGAAGUCCCACUUUCCCCAAUUCUAUAGGUGAGAAGCUACUCUGGCCAGUAGGACAUGCACCCCAGUGGCAAAUGAAGGACUCCCCCAAAUAUUAUUUCACUGAGAUAAGUCCUUAAUGAUAGAUAGAUAUUAACAUUUGCUGUGCAGGCAUUUCCCACUGUGUUUUUUACCCUAAGAACUUAAGUUGAUCUAACGCACUUAAUCUGUGUGCUUACUGCCUGUUCCAUCUCACUAGAGUGUAAGCCCCAUGAUGAGGGCCAAGUGUUUGUCUGCUCCAUGUCUUGCCCUGUCACCUGCCCUUGACACACCUGGAACAUCAGAGGUGCUGCAGGAGCAUUUGUUGACUGAAUGACGGAGCCUAACCUUGCUGUGGGGACCUGCCCUGUCUGUUACUGUGUGCUGCCCAGCACACUCUGCUCUCACUGCAGAGCCCACAUGCCUGGGUCAGGGCCAGUUUCAUGAUGUUACUCCACAGACAUUAAGGAAUACAUCUUGCUGGGAGCAUUCAUGGCUGAGAAGAGAAGAGAAGCCAGAGAAGAGAAGGCACGUGUUUCCUGAUCCCCUUAUCUUUCCACUGUGGUAGGUGCUAAGGCCAGGAUGCUGAUUUGUUCCAGUGGAGGAAGCCCUGCCUUGCUGAUAUUCCUUCUGUGGGACAAGUGUGACAGCAGCGUUCUUGGUGGGCAUAAGCAGACAUGUCUGGCUCUGAGUGGUCUGGCUUUGGGAGGCCAGCUGUUUGUAGGAGCUGCCCAGCACCUGAAGACUGUGGUCUGGCAAGAAGAUGAGCUUGGCCUAUCCUCUACCACUGGGAUUGCUCCCACCUGGCUCAUUGUUCGGGAAACCUGGAGAGAGCCCUAGGGUUAUUUUUGGAAAAUCUUGUUUGUUGCACCACAUUUUAUGCUGACAGAACAGGCACAGAGGAUUGGAUAAUUUGAUCAAGGUCAUAUGCCUGCCAACGUGGCAGAUGUAAAGCCAGAUUUGACUCCUAGGACCAUUUUCAUCCUACUGGCCCAUUUUGCCCAGACUCCUCCAAGCUGCUAAGCAAUCUGGGGAAGGACCCUGAACAUCAGCACUGGGUUACCUCUGGAGGCCCUUGUGCCUGUGGUCUGGACUCACAGGUGGUCAAGUCUCCUUCAGGAGGCAGGGAGAAAUGGAAGGCAGUGGCUUUGUCAGGGUCUGCCAAGGGCCCAGCGUUCCUCAUGCACCCUCUUGCUCCUGGUGUCCUUACAGCUGAGGCUCAGGCAUGCGGCCUCUUGCCUGGACUCAUACAGUGAGAGAUGGUGGGCCAGGGUUGGUCUCACACCACUGUCUUGAGUAUCCUUUGCAUAGGACCUGCCCUGCAUCACUUCCAUGGUCCUUUGGCAGUUCCCAGGGAUGCUGCAGCUGCCAAGAGUUUUCAUGGCACUUGAUCUCAUGUGCUGGUACUUCUGCUAUUAGAGGCGGAGCUUGGCUCACCUCCUGCUACCUGGGGAUGCGUUAUGGUUCCAGCAGGGCCACUUUUUACUUGGCCUCACCCCUGGACAGUAUCCAGGUGAGGCCACCACAUGCACCUGUCUAGUUGUGACUGGCCUUUGGGAUUUGAGGGGCAUUGUCUCAGCCAGCUUUGACACCUCCAGGAACCAGGUCUUCUGGCAUGGGAACAGGACCAUGAACCAGUUCUUCCACUGAAGAAACCAGCCCUUAGUACAGAGGUAGGGUCCAAAUGUUAAUGGAGCAAGGCACAGCAGCACCUAUAUAAAUGUAUGGCAUACAUGUGGGUCAUAUGCACACACAUCGACACGGAGAUGGGUGCCUUGAAACCAAACACAUGCUUAGGUUUUGUGCAUGCCAUUUGCCUCAUGUGUGUGCGCAUGGUUAGACACACACCCACACAGGCAAACAGACAUGCAGAGAAGUGGGGUUGCAAAGAAAUAAUCUUAUUUGGCUCCCAUAUACGUUGACCUCUGAUUCCUUUUCUGUGGAAAUAAAUCAUACUUUAAUGAAUGAUUGAGCCAAAUGUGGCCAAACUCAGAUCACAGGAGUGGUGUUAGCUGGGGAGACAUCCCAGUGUCAGAGAGGAGGAAUGGCAUUUGCUGAGUUCCCACAGAGUUCUGGGGAUUGCAGUAGGGACAUUACCUGAUUUACUACUAAGUCAGGAUGUGGGUGGGUGUUAUUGUACUUUCCUUGAAUGCAUAGGUGGGGCCAUGAGAAGUGGGUGACUGCCGGACUCGCAGCAGCACAGAACUGGAGGCCAGAUUCCCCCAUCAUGGCCCUGACCUGUGCAGGGUCCUGUACAGGGAGGUUCUGGCUGUUGACCCUGGGACACAACAUGUGGUGAGCCAUGGAGAGGUGUCAGCCCUUCCUGGCCCAGCUGCCUCACCUGAGAGGAAGUCAGAUCUGCUUGGGGAGAUCUAUCUUUGCUGGAAUACCUCUGCUGGGACUUUCACGUGGCCGUUCUUUUUUUGCUCAGUCCUGCCAUAGAGCAAAUCCAGUUGCUGCUUUCCUGGCAGCCUUCAGAUCUUCCUGCACCCUAGGCUCAGCCCUGUGCAACCAGACGAGACCCUCGGCACAUGGGAUAGAUGUCCCCAGACUUCAUUUUGAAAAGAAGUCCACAUAUGAAGUGCCUGGGAGCACUGAGGACCUCACAGCAAGGUUGCCAACUUGUUCUUUGGCAGAAUGCUGUGAAUGUCACUUCUCCCACAUGGCUUCUGUGCACCACGGGGACAGCAAACAAGCAUCACGGCAUCUGCAGAAGGACCUGGAGUGCAGAAGUCUGGUGCUCUCAGUCUGUGCUGGCUUUCUCUGACUUCUCAUCUUCCCACGCCCUCAUUUCCCAUAGCCCCACAGAGUAAUGGACUGACAGAGUUAGGGAGACCCCUCUUGGGGCAGGCACAACAUAAGGGUGUAGACAGCCACAGGUUGGGAUUAGAGAACUGUAAGGAACCUCUGUUAGAGGACCUUUGAGGUUCCAUCUGUGGAUAAAUGUGGAAAAAAUUGUUUCAUGAGUUUGAUGAUCAUGUCAGAAUCAUUUUUCUGGGUUGCCAAUGUGUUCACAUUCAUAGCUUAAUAUAAAAUAUAGGCAUCAGGAGACAGGCCCUUUUAUAUUUGUGAAUAUUUUUGUAUCACCUUGUGACAGACUAAUAAAUAUUGUUGAAGGAGG
This is a long non-coding RNA of Mustela lutreola (European mink), 3504 nucleotides long. RefSeq lists it as uncharacterized. The record is from RefSeq and is a predicted model, not a curated record. The transcript has 3 exons. Lineage: Eukaryota; Metazoa; Chordata; Mammalia; Carnivora; Mustelidae.